Oxyura jamaicensis (ruddy duck) is the source of this 427-nucleotide long non-coding RNA. RefSeq lists it as uncharacterized. The record is from RefSeq and is a predicted model, not a curated record. The transcript has 2 exons. Lineage: Eukaryota; Metazoa; Chordata; Aves; Anseriformes; Anatidae.
GAGGAUAAAUUCUGAUGUUGAAUAGAUCCUGCAGCCAGAAAACAGCUUCUCCUUUCAAGACUGAAUUAGAUGAACUUCAGCUUCUGACAGCCAGGUGGAUAAGCCUCUGCUACCAGAACAGCUUCCCGUCCAAACUUUGAAAAGCCUCUGUCUAUGGAAGCAGUUUUGGAGCCCAGGACAGUCAGUAACCAGGCAAUGUUCAGGAAUGUUGGCACUACUACCCGCCUAUUCUUCACCUAUUUAGUGACUGAAAUAGUACUUUAGUGGUCAGGAAUGCCAGCACAUCCAUACUUCAAAUUGCCUUUCUACAGUAGGAAAAUGGAAUAAAUAGAAGUCAGACUUGGAUAUCUGAAUUUCCACACCUUAUAUGUUUUUGUCCCAUUGCAUCUGCCUGAUAAUCAUCUUUCAAGGCCAAAGGGAAAAAAAA